RNAcentral lists this long non-coding RNA (1098 nucleotides) under Felis catus (domestic cat). RNAcentral's name for it is "lncRNA (ENSFCAG00000050038.1)". Lineage: Eukaryota; Metazoa; Chordata; Mammalia; Carnivora; Felidae. The record is from RNAcentral.
CUAUGCUUUCUGACCAACUUUUUUUUUUUUUUUUUUUUUUUUAUGAUUUGUCAUUGUUGAGAUGGGACAAAAGUCACAUUCAGACUACGUCACAUGUCGGUGGUGUUGAGAGGCAAGAGGGGAUCCCUCGUUCCCUCUUCCCAAAUUUCUUCUCCUUUGCUCUUCACCGUGCCCUGCAGUCUCUGUUCCACUGUCCUGUCCGUGCGUCCCGGGAAUAAAAGGAAUGACCAGUAAAACCCCAGCUGGCGGGGAGCAGGGCGGUAGUGUUUCCGUGUGUGUUGUCGGGCAGGGAGGGUGACGGUAGCUCCCAGAUCCUGGACAGGAAAUACCACAAGCUUUUGUCCCUUCCGGGCACUGGGCGCAUCCUGCUGCCCGCAGGGGUGACGAGGGACACGGACCCAGCGGAGCACUGCCCAGGCACAAAUGCCAUUCUUAGGAAGUAAGUGUCCUUCGUGCCAGGCCGGCCGGGCUGAGGCCUCUGCCAGAUGCUCGAAAUGGGACAUCAGUGGUGUCCUGGGAAUCUAAGGAUUGAAGCUAGACUCUGUUACCGUUGCAGCCCCACAGCGGACGAGAUGUUCACUGACCUCACGGCCACGGCGGACACGCAGAGGCUGUGUGAGAGCUUCUGGACGCACGGAGUGGCGGGCAGAAUGGGAGACCAGAGGGGAAGAUCAAGGGCCCACCCAAAGUCACCCGGCGGAGACAGGCUGAACACCACGUCGGCCUGACCCCAACGCCGGCGGUCCGCACCACUGACCCGUGCUCUCAGCAGACCGUGCCUUUUCACCGCAACACGGAACACCACAAAUUAAUUCAAACAAAUUGCAAAUAUGAGUACAAGUGCACUCUAUUUACAAAGCCCUGGAAAUGCUGUUUGGGAGUUUAGAAAAACAUACACGAAGGGGGGGAAAAAACAAGGAAGAACUCAAAACCGAAUUUACAAAUCGUUUGUACAAUAAUAACGAAAACUAUGUAUCAUAACAAAAGAUGAAAACUCAGCAGAAAAACUAGCAAAGGGUGUGAUUAGGAAGCUAAAGAAAAGAAGUUGCAUACAUGGCCCAAAAUAAAUGGAGAAAAGUUCAAAUUUUUUGACUAAAG